GGAUUUGAGUACUCCUCUGCGUGUCCAUUGAGCACCCCUAGUGGAAAAAUGGAAGGUGAUUUUGAGAUGAAGCACAUCGACAAAGCUGGGUCGUCUACAUUCAAUGUCGCAAUUGCACCAUUCUCUCUGUCAAUCCUUGGAGAUGACAACGAUGAUGUUCUCCUCUAAAUGUGAUUGGGUAUCAGAAUGAGUUUGAAUAAGAUGAUGUCACCAGCAAGGAAUUUGCAUAAUACACAAACACGAGUAGUGCUGUUAGUGAUGUGGCUAGAGUUCUCUACUGGAAACUCCUGCGAAUGCAAAUUUUUGUUAAGCUAGC
This 316-nucleotide unclassified non-coding RNA is filed under the name Hevea brasiliensis (rubber tree). The record is from RNAcentral. Lineage: Eukaryota; Viridiplantae; Streptophyta; Magnoliopsida; Malpighiales; Euphorbiaceae.